GCGCAUGCGCGCGCCCGGGCGGCGCGGGAUCUGGGUCUGGGGAUGUGGUACCGGCUGCUGGCGGCGGCCGGCAGUAGAGCGGUGGCCAGGCCGCUGGCCUUGCUGUGGCGAUGUGGUGGCCCAGGAGGCGGCAGGACGGCCAAGACCAGCGCGAGGGCCCUGGGCAAGGCCCGACAGUGGUUAUGGCCAGUGAGAAUGUGCGGUGUUGCAUUGCAGAAGAAGCUAGGAAAGCUCAUCUGGCCUCCUGUUCCAGUGCUUCCAGGGGAUCCACGUUCAGAAGCUGACUCUGCAGGCAAGACCGACGUUAUUUUCCUGGUGGCUGUGUUCAAAACCACCCAAAGGUACCUGUCUUUCAUCCACCAUCAUUAACAGCAUGAGGUUUACAGGAACUGAGUGGCUUCCUCAGAGUGUGACUUCUACAGUGAGUGACCAGGGGGCGAGGGUCCAGACAACUCAGGGCACACCCCACUCCACCCCGCCCCAUCCUACCCCUU
Molecule: long non-coding RNA, 494 nt
Organism: Homo sapiens (human)
Lineage: Eukaryota; Metazoa; Chordata; Mammalia; Primates; Hominidae
Gene: AFG3L1P
Product: AFG3 like matrix AAA peptidase subunit 1, pseudogene
Source: Ensembl